This 28-nucleotide non-coding RNA is filed under the name Cricetulus griseus (Chinese hamster). Lineage: Eukaryota; Metazoa; Chordata; Mammalia; Rodentia; Cricetidae. The record is from RNAcentral.
AGGCGCCGCCCGCCAUGUGGCUCUGUGG